UCCGUGGCUACGAGGACGACGCUGGCGGCGCGCCUAACACAUGCAAGUUGAACGGAGCUUAGAGAGCUUGCUUUUUAAGCUUAGUGGCGAACGGGUGAGUAACGCGUGAGUAACCUGCCCUAGAGUGGGGGACAACAGUUGGAAACGACUGCUAAUACCGCAUAAGCCCACGGUACCGCAUGGUACUGAGGGAAAAGGAUUUAUUCGCUUUAGGAUGGACUCGCGUCCAAUUAGCUAGUUGGUGAGGUAACGGCCCACCAAGGCGACGAUUGGUAGCCGGACUGAGAGGUUGAACGGCCACAUUGGGACUGAGACACGGCCCAGACUCCUACGGGAGGCAGCAGUGGGGGAUAUUGCACAAUGGGGGAAACCCUGAUGCAGCGACGCCGCGUGGAGGAAGAAGGUUUUCGGAUUGUAAACUCCUGUCGUUAGGGACGAUAAUGACGGUACCUAACAAGAAAGCACCGACUAACUACGUG
Molecule: ribosomal RNA, 479 nt
Filed under: uncultured bacterium
Lineage: Bacteria
Description: bacterial SSU rRNA
Rfam family: Bacterial small subunit ribosomal RNA
Source: RNAcentral